RNAcentral lists this ribosomal RNA (599 nucleotides) under uncultured Clostridium sp. RNAcentral describes it as "bacterial SSU rRNA". It matches the Rfam family "Bacterial small subunit ribosomal RNA", at positions 918 to 1519 of the family's 1533-position model. Lineage: Bacteria; Bacillati; Bacillota; Clostridia; Eubacteriales; Clostridiaceae. The record is from RNAcentral.
GGCCCGGCACAAGCAGCGGAGCAUGUGGUUUAAUUCGAAGCAACGCGAAGAACCUUACCUAGACUUGACAUCCCCUGAAUUACCUGUAAUGAGGGAAGCCCUUCGGGGCAGGGAGACAGGUGGUGCAUGGUUGUCGUCAGCUCGUGUCGUGAGAUGUUAGGUUAAGUCCUGCAACGAGCGCAACCCUUAUCAUUAGUUGCUACCAUUAAGUUGAGCACUCUAGUGAGACUGCCCGGGUUAACCGGGAGGAAGGUGGGGAUGACGUCAAAUCAUCAUGCCCCUUAUGUCUAGGGCUACACACGUGCUACAAUGGUGAGUACAGAAAGAUGCAAGACCGUGAGGUGGAGCAAAACUUUUAAAACUCAUCUCAGUUCGGAUUGUAGGCUGAAACUCGCCUACAUGAAGCUGGAGUUGCUAGUAAUCGCGAAUCAGCAUGUCGCGGUGAAUACGUUCCCGGGCCUUGUACACACCGCCCGUCACACCAUGAGAGCUGGCAACACCCGAAGUCCGUGAGGUAACCGUAAGGAGCCAGCGGCCGAAGGUGGGGUUAGUAAUUGGGGUGAAGUCGUAACAAGGUAGCCGUAGGAGAACCUGCGGCU